AGAGUUUGAUCAUGGCUCAGGACGAACGCUGGCGGCGCGCUUAACACAUGCAAGUCGAGCGAUAACCAUGGCUUCGGCCAUGGGGAGAGCGGCGAACGGGUGAGUAACACGUGAGUGAUCUGCCCUCGACACUGGGAUAGCCCGGGGAAACCCGGAUUAAUACCGGAUAGCCUCUCGGGUCUACGGGCUCGUGAGAAAAGAUGGCUUCGGCUUUCGGUUGAGGAGGAGCUUGCGGCGGAUUAGCUUGUUGGUGAGGUAACGGCUCACCAAGGCGACGAUCCGUAGCUGGUCUGAGAGGACGAUCAGCCACACUGGGACUGAGACACGGCCCAGACUCCUACGGGAGGCAGCAGUGGGGAAUCUUGCGCAAUGGGCGAAAGCCUGACGCAGCGACGCCGCGUGAGGGAAGAAGGCCUUCGGGUUGUAAACCUCCUUCAGGAGGGACGAAGCUACUCGGGUUAAUAGCCCAGAGGGUGACGGUACCUCCAGAAGAAGCCCCGGCUAACUACGUGCCAGCAGCCGCGGUAAUACGUAGGGGGCAAGCGUUGUCCGGAAUCAUUGGGCGUAAAGCGCGUGUAGGCGGCCAGAAAAGUCCGCUGUGAAAACUCGAGGCUCAACUUCGAGCUGUCGGUGGAAACUUUCUGGCUAGAGUCCGGAAGAGGAGAAUGGAAUUCCUGGUGUAGCGGUGAAAUGCGCAGAUAUCAGGAAGAACACCCGUGGCGAAGGCGGUUCUCUGGGACGGUACUGACGCUGAGACGCGAAAGCGUGGGGAGCGAACAGGAUUAGAUACCCUGGUAGUCCACGCCGUAAACGAUGGGUGCUAGGUGUGGGGGGUGUCGACUCCCUCCGUGCCGAAGCUAACGCAUUAAGCACCCCGCCUGGGGAGUACGGCCGCAAGGCUAAAACUCAAAGGAAUUGACGG
Molecule: ribosomal RNA, 922 nt
Filed under: uncultured bacterium
Lineage: Bacteria
Description: bacterial SSU rRNA
Rfam family: Bacterial small subunit ribosomal RNA
Source: RNAcentral